This 429-nucleotide RNase P RNA is filed under the name Armatimonadota bacterium. RNAcentral describes it as "Armatimonadetes bacterium RNase P RNA component class A". It matches the Rfam family "Bacterial RNase P class A". Rfam says of the family: Ribonuclease P (RNase P) is a ubiquitous endoribonuclease, found in archaea, bacteria and eukarya as well as chloroplasts and mitochondria. Its best characterised activity is the generation of mature 5'-ends of tRNAs by cleaving the 5'-leader elements of precursor-tRNAs. Cellular RNase Ps are ribonucleoproteins. The record is from RNAcentral. Lineage: Bacteria; Bacillati; Armatimonadota.
GGAGCGGGCUGGACGGCCGCCCUGGGGCUACGCCCCGGGGAGGAAAGUCCGGACUCCACAGGGCAGGGCGCUGGGUAACGCCCAGGAGGGGUGACCCUACGGAAAGUGCCACAGAAAACACACAGCCCGCCGUCGUACGCAUAGGGGCACGGCAUGCUGUGCCCUGCUAGCGAAGGCGGGCAACGGUGAAAAGGUGUCCCGAUUCGUCGGGAUCCCGGUCCGCCUCAGGCGGCGCCGGGACGGUAAGAGCGCACCGCCGCGGUGGUGACAUCGCGGGCAUGGCAAACCCCGCCCGGAGCAAGGCCAAAUAGGAGGCGCAUGCGGUGGCCCGCCGCUGCCUCGGGUUGGCCGCUACGAGGAGUCGGGUAACCGGCUCCCUAGAGGAAUGGCCGUCCGCGACAGAAUCCGGCUUAUAGGCCCGCUCCUCAG